RNAcentral lists this ribosomal RNA (246 nucleotides) under uncultured bacterium. Its description in RNAcentral is "partial 16S ribosomal RNA". It matches the Rfam family "Bacterial small subunit ribosomal RNA", at positions 107 to 353 of the family's 1533-position model. The record is from RNAcentral.
UGAGUAAUGUCUGGGAAACUGCCUGAUGGAGGGGGGAUAACUACUGGAAACGGUAGCUAAUACCGCAUAACGUCGCAAGACCAAAGAGGGGGACCUUCGGGCCUCUUGCCAUCAGAUGUGCCCAGAUGGGAUUAGCUAGUAGGUGGGGUAACGGCUCACCUAGGCGACAAUCCCUAGCUGGUCUGAGAGGAUGACCAGCCACACUGGAACUGAGACACGGUCCAGACUCCUACGGGAGGCAGCAUG